Long non-coding RNA from Erpetoichthys calabaricus (reedfish), 620 nucleotides. RefSeq lists it as uncharacterized. Lineage: Eukaryota; Metazoa; Chordata; Cladistia; Polypteriformes; Polypteridae. The record is from RefSeq and is a predicted model, not a curated record. The transcript is spliced from 3 exons.
ACGAGAAAAAAAGUUACCACGGGAUUUUAAUUUCUCGGUCUGCAUUAACAAAUAGAACUUUCGCCAUUCGAGUGAGAAGGAGAAAGAAGAACGCUGUAGAGAAUAGGAGCAUAUUGAAUUUUUCUCCUGGCAGAAGAAUAAUUUUCACUUCUUGAAAAAAUGAAGACUUUUCAAUUUUACAACGACUUGAAAGAAUAUCUUUUACGGGAAGAAUUUAGCAACAAUUUUACGGUCAGAGAGCGAAGUGAAAUACGACGUGUGUCCGUGAAUUUUAUGAUUAAAGUCCAUCACCCAUGCCCUGGCUGCUCUACAGGGUGUAUCAGGACAGGAGGCAGAAGACUUAUUUCUUGGUGGCCCAGAAUACAGUAUCAGUGAAGUGGAAGAAUUUAACUGAAAGAUAGGGCAGCAAUUAAAGAAGGAGGGAAUGCUGUGAUAUCUGUUAGAAUAGAAGAUGAUGCUACUGCCCAGUGCUUCCAGAAUCCUUCAUUUGAGUCUUGGGUCUGAAUCUACUGCGUCAUUGCCAAGUAUUCUGGGGUAAUGUAUCUUGUUUUGUUUACAUUUUGUUUUUCUCCAUAUUCCAAGCUCAUUUACUUGACCUUAGCUUUAAUAAACUUGAUGGC